Molecule: non-coding RNA, 190 nt
Organism: Pimephales promelas (fathead minnow)
Lineage: Eukaryota; Metazoa; Chordata; Actinopteri; Cypriniformes; Leuciscidae
Source: RefSeq, a predicted model, not a curated record
UGCGCGUCACACAGAUCCAGGAAAAACAAAACAAAGCCCCCGUUUUCUCGAUCGCAGAAGACCCAUCAUAGAUUUCUUUUUUGCACACGCAGCGCUUCCUCCGGAGUUGGCAUUCGCACUUUGGAGGACAUAUCUCCCAUUCUACUUUGGAUAAAGUGCCUCCAAACCAAACGCACGGAAGUCCGCGCGA